UACAGAGGUGGCAAGCGUUGUUCGGAAUUACUGGGCGUAAAGGGCGCGUAGGCGGCCUUCUAAGUCAGACGUGAAAUCCCCCGGCUUAACCUGGGAACUGCGUCUGAUACUGGGAGGCUUGAGUAUGGGAGAGGGAUGUAGAAUUCCAGGUGUAGCGGUGAAAUGCGUAGAUAUCUGGAGGAAUACCGGUGGCGAAGGCGGGAUCCUGGGCCAGUACUGACGCUGAGGAGCGAAAGCGUGGGGAGCAAACAGG
Molecule: ribosomal RNA, 253 nt
Filed under: uncultured bacterium
Lineage: Bacteria
Description: partial 16S ribosomal RNA
Rfam family: Bacterial small subunit ribosomal RNA
Source: RNAcentral